Molecule: long non-coding RNA, 957 nt
Organism: Physeter macrocephalus (sperm whale)
Lineage: Eukaryota; Metazoa; Chordata; Mammalia; Artiodactyla; Physeteridae
Exons: 5
Source: RefSeq, a predicted model, not a curated record
GGACAGGGCGCCUGGCUCCGCGCUGGGCUCGCGGGCGGCGGCGCUUCCGGGCCCCAGGCGCCGCCGCGGCCUCUAGAAUUCCGCCGGCUGCGCUCAGGCGUCCGCAGCCAACCCUCCGCCUGGAGACCCUAGGGAGACAGACCCAGGAUUCGUCCUCCGAGUCACAGCUCCGACCACCGUGCAUCCUUUAAGGGUAAGAGGUGCUCCUGAAAUACAGAUUGGAAUGACUUCGUAUCUCCUCUGCCUAAAAACCCUUCCAUACUCCUACCUAUAGACCUGAGUACGCGGACCUCUCACUGUUGUGGCCUCUCCCGUUGCGGAGCACAGGCUCCGGACGCGCAGGCUCAGCGGCCAUGGCCCACAGGCCCAGCUGCUCUGCAGCAUGUGGGAUCCCCCCGGACGAGGUCACAAACCCGUGUCCCCUGCAUCGGCAGGCGGACUCCCAACCACUGCGCCACCAGGGAAGCCCCACUAAAGUAUUUUUUAAUGAAGGAGGUGGGUCAAAAAGGAUCUUGCUGUGAUUUACGUCAUAGAGUGUUCUGCCUAUGUCUUCCUCUAAGAGUUUGAUAGUGUCUGGCCUUACAUUUAGGUCUUUAACCCAUUUUGAGUUUAUUUUAGUGUAUGGUGUUAGGGAGUGUUCUAAUUUCAUACUUUUACAUGUACCUGUCCAGUUUUCCCAGCACCACUUAUUGAAGAGGCUGUCUUUUCUCCACUGUAUAUCCUUCCCUCCUUUAUCAAAGAUAAGGUGACCAUAUGUGUGUGGGUUUAUCUCUGGGCUCUCUAUCCUGUUCCAUUGAUCUAUAUUUCUGUUUUUGUGCCAGUACCAUACUGUCUUGAUUACUGUAACCUUGUAGUAUAAUCGGAAGUCAGGGAGCCUGAUUCCUCCAGCUCCAUUUUUCGUUCUCAAGAUUGCUUUGGCUAUUCGGGGUCUUUUGUGUUUCCAUACAAAUUGUGAAA